This 301-nucleotide ribosomal RNA is filed under the name uncultured bacterium. RNAcentral's name for it is "partial 16S ribosomal RNA". It matches the Rfam family "Bacterial small subunit ribosomal RNA", at positions 509 to 809 of the family's 1533-position model. The record is from RNAcentral.
CAGUCGCCGCGGUAAUACGAAGGGUGCAAGCGUUAAUCUGAAUUACUGGGCGUAAAGCGUGCGUAGGCGGUGAGUUAAGUCUGCUGUGAAAUCCCCGGGCUCAACCUGGGAAUGGCAGUGGAUACUGGCUCGCUAGAGUGUGUCAGAGGAUGGUGGAAUUCCCGGUGUAGCGGUGAAAUGCGUAGAGAUCGGGAGGAACAUCAGUGGCGAAGGCGGCCAUCUGGGACAACACUGACGCUGAGGCACGAAAGCGUGGGGAGCAGACAGGAUUAGAUACCCGUGUAGUCCCUGUCUCUUAUAA